AGGAAACUCAAAAAUCAAGUAGGCCUAAAGAUGCCAUAGGGCAGGUUGAGGGAGAAUCAGCUGGACCUUCAGGGCUUCAGGAGACAGUCAGUGUGAGUGAGGAUGAUCCUGAAGCAAGUCAGUGUAGCAGUGUCAUGGACAUGGGGAGUAAGCCAUUCCAGCCUGAUCCAAAAUUCAUCGAAGUACAGCAACUUCCAGACAAGAUUUUGCGGUUUCAGAUCUGGGCUUACAGACAAAUCUGCACCUGCAGGCAUGAUUGUAGACAUGGGCCCAACUGAUCCCCAUGUUGAGACUGCUGAGGAUGCACCCACUUCAAAGAAAAAGACCACCUUGGGGAGCUUCAAGACCACUGAGGGAACCACACUAAGACCCCCACCACAAAAAAAGCUAUAUCCUGAGUUACAGUCUUAUCUACAAUUGGACAACAUUGACAGUGAAGAGGACCCGCUGGACUGGUGGAGGGAACACCAGAGACUCUAUCCACGACUCUCAAAACUAGCAAAAAAGUACUUGUGCAUUCCAGCCACAAGCACUGGGGGAAAUGUAGUGACCUACCCUUGCUCGUCUCUCAAGCCAGAAAAUGUGGACAGGCUCCAUUCUUGCCAAAAACCUGUAAACACCACGUUAUGGGGCAGUGGUGGCUCGAUGGUUAAGGCUCUGGGUUACUGAACAGAAGGUCAGGGGUCCAAGCCCCAGCACUGCCAAGCUGCCACUGUUGGGGGCCCUUGAGCAAGGCCCUUAACCCUCUCUGCUCCAGGGGUGCAGUAUCAUGGCUGACACUGCACUCUGACCCUAACAUUGUUUGAAUUUCACUGUGCUGUAAUUUAUGUGACUAAUAAAGACUAAAGAUAUUUCUUUCUGCAUACACCUGAAUUUUCAUUUGGUUGCAUAUUGUUAUAAUUGAUGCAUAUUUUUC
This is a long non-coding RNA of Ictalurus punctatus (channel catfish), 916 nucleotides long. The record is from Ensembl. NCBI's taxonomy places the organism in Eukaryota, Metazoa, Chordata, Actinopteri, Siluriformes, Ictaluridae.